GCUGGGCUCAGUGGCGUGUGCCUGUAGUCCCAGCUACUUGGGAGGCUGAGGUGGGAGGAUCGCUUGAGCCCAGGAGUUCUGGGCUGUAGUGUGCUAUGCAGAUCGGGUGUCCGCACUAAGUUUGGCAACAAUACGGUGACCUCCUGAGAGUUGGCGACCACCAGGUUGCCUAAGGAGGGAGGAAACGGCCCAAGUUGGAAACAGAGCAGGUCAAAACUCCUGUGCUGAUCAGUAGUGGGAUCGCACCUGUGAAUAGCCACUGCACUCCAGUCUGGGCAACAUAGCGAGACCCCAUCUCU
This 299-nucleotide signal recognition particle RNA is filed under the name Saimiri boliviensis boliviensis (Bolivian squirrel monkey). RNAcentral's name for it is "Metazoan signal recognition particle RNA (ENSSBOG00000000333.1)". It matches the Rfam family "Metazoan signal recognition particle RNA". Rfam says of the family: The signal recognition particle (SRP) is a universally conserved ribonucleoprotein. It is involved in the co-translational targeting of proteins to membranes. The eukaryotic SRP consists of a 300-nucleotide 7S RNA and six proteins: SRPs 72, 68, 54, 19, 14, and 9. Lineage: Eukaryota; Metazoa; Chordata; Mammalia; Primates; Cebidae. The record is from RNAcentral.